UUUUUUUUCCAAUGAUUUUCUGAAAACAGAUCUAGUGUCAGAGAGAGAGAGAGAGAGAGAGAGAGAGAGAGAGAGAGAGAGAGAGAGAGAGAGAGAGAGAGAGGCGCUGGGUAAGCUGUGCUCGAGCUUUUGAAGGAAGGCAAAGACUUGACGGAAGAAGAGAUUUUCCUCUCUUGUGCUCUCGGCUGGUGUAUCGAAUGGGUAUGCGAAGAUUCAACCUUUUCUGAAUCUUGAGCAUGGAUUAUAGAACUAUACACUCUUUGUUUAGUUUCUGGCGAGCAAGGCGAAUAUAUAUAUUGUCCUAGAGUUCAUCAGUGGUGGAAGGCUUUUUGGCAAAAUUGUGAGUUUAUCAGUGCAGUUCAUUACUGCUAUAGCAGGAGACUCUACCACAAAGACUUAAAGCCGGAAAAAACUUGUUUCUUGAUGCUCAAGGAAAUCUGAAAGUCUGGUUUUGAAUUCAGCGCCUUGUCCCAAUAAGUCUCUUACCAUCAUUUUUAUUUGCCUGAGUUCCUACUGAGUUGUUUUUGAAAAAAACUACAUGCCAGAACAGAAGCUUCUGAAGGAUGGUUUCAUCAUCAGGAAACCAACCAAGAUCCACUCUCCUGAAGAAAUACUGAAAGUCAAAGAAGAUUGACAAGUACAUGUACCAUGUAUCGAGCAUACAAGGCGACGGAGAAACUCUGAUGUAUGUAGCAGACGACUCGAUAGAAGUCAACUCCGGUGACUAGGUGAUGCGACGACAGCACUCUGAAGGCGGAUGCUUAGUUUAGGUUUAGGUUAAUUAUGUUUUGGCGGCAUCACUCUGAAGGCGGAUGCUUAGUUUAGGUUUAGGUUAAUUAUGUUUUGGCUAAUUAUGUUUUAAUUUGUUUUUGGUUUAAUGUGUUCUUUAAUUUAUUUGUUUUUAACAACAUGAUGUUCAAUAAUUAUUUGUAUACUGAUUUUAAUUAAUAAAUAAAAUUUAAUUUUUAA
This is a long non-coding RNA of Brassica napus (rape), 969 nucleotides long. RefSeq lists it as uncharacterized. The transcript is spliced from 3 exons. The record is from RefSeq and is a predicted model, not a curated record. NCBI's taxonomy places the organism in Eukaryota, Viridiplantae, Streptophyta, Magnoliopsida, Brassicales, Brassicaceae.